Misgurnus anguillicaudatus (oriental weatherfish) is the source of this 2353-nucleotide non-coding RNA. Lineage: Eukaryota; Metazoa; Chordata; Actinopteri; Cypriniformes; Cobitidae. The record is from RefSeq and is a predicted model, not a curated record.
ACUAUGGUCUUAUUCUCCACUCAUCUUUAUACAUAAUGUAAUGUCCUAUUCUUUGUGUUAACUAAACUCAUAACAUCUGACAUUGCCUUGUUUGAUUUUGUGUACAUUUAUGUAGAAUUUAAGUAUAUUUAUUUUCUGGUUUAUAUGAUCAGUAAAAAAUACUAUUGAGUCAUUUAAUUUGUAUGAUCUUGCAUAAGAAAAGGACAUGGUGGCAGAUGGGACUUUUUAAACAUACAGCUGACUGGGGGAUUUUAUAAAAGAUAAAGUCCAGCUUAUAGUCCUGUGUUCUACGCUGUAGCUACACUGUAGGCCAGGGCUAUUCAAAUUUUACCCUGGAGGGCCGGAGCACUGGAUAGUUUACCUCCAACCCUAAUUUUCUAGUGAUCAUGAAGACCUUGAUUAGCUUGCUCAGGUGUGUUUGAUCAGGGUUGGAGCUAAACUCUGCAGUGCUCCGGCCCUCCAGGGUAAGAUUUGAAUAGCUCUGCUGUAGGCUAUGCGUAGCCGGAUGUGCACCUCUGCAAAAUUCUAACAACGCGUCAGUUCAACGCUAGAAUCCCCUCCCGUCAGGUCCUCGUACGGUUUUUCGCUAACAACGGUAAAAACAAAGAUGGGUCAAGUUGAGGAAUGACAAACUCAAGCUGCAACAAAAGUCGCUGUCCAUUUACCUCCAUCACAGCUAAUCUGCUUAAAUUGUACACAACAAACUGCUUCUUCUUUGGUGGGUUUAACUGGCCAAGCGCUUACUUCUUCGUCUGUUCCAUUGCUACUGUGGGUUAGACACAUGGAUACUGCUUACCAGUGGUCUGCAUGUGUGUUUGCGCGUUGAUGCGGACAACAACACAGAAGUAUAUAUAUAUAAAAAAAAAGACGCGUAGGCUACGCCGUAGGACCUACACACAAUGCACAAGGCCUUCAGAUGCUCCGGUCAGGUUUUGAGGGGACAAAAUGGCUGUGUUUACAUAAAAUUUUGUCAUUCUGACUGAAUUUAAUCCGAUUGAAGGUUACGACAACACAGUUUACAUGUACCCUAAACAAUGCAAGCUGAUUAAAAUGUUUGUUUACAUAUACAUUCUAUGUAAGCCGAACCGAACGUCUUCGCAAGCACACAGCCAGAGUUAUCAGAUUCACGCAUAAAAACCAUCUCAAUGGACAUUCAAGACUAGCACAAAAGCAUCCCAAAGACUAUUCACGGACCAAAUACCAAUAACUAAUAAACUAAACCUUUUCAUCUUUAACCCGUAGUAGGAAAAAACAGGUGUGAACAGUUUAAACAGUAGCCCAAAUCUAAACUCGAAAAAAGCAAAGGAGCAACGCUACGCUGCGGACAGCAUUUCUCAUCGAAUUCGCGCUUUAUCAAAAGUCAAAGCUGAGUUGGAGAAAGUUGUUCUUAAGAAGUUUUCAGAUAAAGUUAAUAAAACACAAUUUUCUAAGGCACAAUGCUAUUUUAUUGCUUUAUGUAGCCUAAGGUUAUGAAAGUACACGUAAACACUGCAAAAUGUACAGAGCGCAAGUUCAUGUCUUAUAUUUAAGAUCAAAGAUCUGUGAUCACGGAUCGGACUACACCAUCUCUUUCAAUACGAUUGAAAUUUGCAUCUGAUCGACCUCAAUUGUACUGAUUAAGAUGUUUACAUGAAGGCUUUUCAAUGCCAUUGAGCCAUUAAUAUGAUUUCAAAUGGAUUAUUUGGUUGCAUGUAAACUUAGCUACAGACUGGAAAACAUCAGUAGGUGGCGACAAUCACACUAAAUUAAUAGCUCCAAGAAAUGAGAAGAGGAUCAGCUCACGAGGAGCAGUUUGAGCAUUAGUGUUGUGCUCUUCGUCGUUUAUGAGAUUAAUGUUUGUUUGUUUAUCUCUAUCUGUGAGCAUUAUAAUUAUGUUUGUGUGUGGAUGAUAUGAGAUGGAUGUGAUGUGCUGUAAAUUAGAUUUGUCCAUGCUGGAUAUUGAUGAAAGAGAAAGAGGUGGCAUUACGGGAGACAAAGCUAAAGUCAAGAGGAGAUGAAGGACUGAAAAGAGAGACCUCCUGAAGGUGAAGGAGGAAAGUUUACAAUGAAUUCAAAGAGAAACCUCAUCAUUUUAAACCUGAAGAAGAAUCUCUGAGCUGCUUAAAGAUUCCUAACGGAUGUUGAUUAUGUCUCUCGCAGUGGACAUGCACCUAUGAUGACAAUUCCAGACCCCUCCAUGAUUUCUAAGUGGGAGAACUUGCAAAAUACCAGGGUGUUCAAAUACUUAUUUUCCUCACUGUAUUUCGAACGCAUCUAAUGUUUCCAGAUCAAUCAAAAUGUGGAAAAUGUAAGAACUUUUUAAAGGAAAGAUUUGAACCUAAACAGAUUAAACUAAAUGUGUUGUGUGACUUUU